This 441-nucleotide ribosomal RNA is filed under the name uncultured bacterium. Its description in RNAcentral is "bacterial SSU rRNA". It matches the Rfam family "Bacterial small subunit ribosomal RNA", at positions 32 to 449 of the family's 1533-position model. The record is from RNAcentral.
AAUCAACGCUGGCGGCGUGCCUAACACAUGCAAGUCGAACGCGAAAGCCCCUUCGGGGGUAAGUAGAGUGGCGUCCGGGUGAGUAACACGUGGGUAAUCUACCUUCGGGUGGGGAAGUAACUCAGGGAAACUUAGAGCUAAUACCGCAUAAUGCAGCGGCACCUAAUGGUGAUUAGUUGUUAAAGCGGGGGAGUCGCAAGACCUCGCGCCUGAAGAGGAGCCUGCGGCAGAUUAGCUAGNGGUGAGGUAAUGGCUCACCAAGGCUUCGAUCUGUAGCUGGUCUGAGAGGACGGCCAGCCACACUGGCACUGACACACGGGCCAGACUCCUACGGGAGGCAGCAGUGGGGAAUUUUGGGCAAUGGGCGAAAAGCCUGACCCAGCAACGCCGCGUGAGGGGAGGAAAUCCUUCGGGAUGUAAACCUCACAAGCAAGGGAAGAG